UUCUAGGUUAAUUAUGCACAAACAACAGCUAAAGUCAAACCAGAUGGCUCACGCACUUAGUCGGGGAGAAAACAUUAUUUCGUAGGACAAAUUAAUUCAAAGAAAAACCGAUAUAAAAUUAUCAACGAAUUAACAUCACAUUUCGGUGAAUAAUAUCUAAUGAGGUUCAUGUUUGGUUUACUAUCUUAGUGAAAUUUUUUAUUCAAAUUCCUUUUUAAGCGAAUAAAUAUCAAAGUAAAUUGAAUCGUCUGUUACCACACUGUUUCCAUAUGCGCUCCCUUACCAUGUUCUUCCACAACUUCUGCCGACUCCAUAAGUGGCAGCUAAUAAAACAUCGCUGUUCUCAAUAACCCUAGUCUUUAUCUAGUCUAACCAGUCGUUUGAGAAGCGCCUCACUGGACCAUUGUCUUCUUUCACCUGGCGCUUCUCUUCUUCAUCACGCCUGUAAGGAAAUCUUGCUGCCAUUUGUGUAUUCCAUGGAAAAAGUGCUGGGCAAACAAACAUUCUCUCUAUUCUCUGGCAAAGGUUAUUAAUUCUACAUCUUGCAGAUUGUUACAAAAGAGGAGUUCAUGAUACUUUUGUCAUACAAUACGCAACACAUCUAUGGUCUUGGACCCUUUACAACACAUCUGACCAACGGUCAAAUAGCUGACCCACUGAGCCAUUCCAAACAAUCCGUCACAAUCACUGAAAUGAUGUCCACUGUGGAAAUUACCAGUAACGAAUGAAGAACUUGAGAAGUUGAUGGGAAACAAGUGAAAAGGGGGUUGCCACUUGGAAAA
Long non-coding RNA from Octopus bimaculoides (California two-spot octopus), 782 nucleotides. The record is from RefSeq and is a predicted model, not a curated record. Lineage: Eukaryota; Metazoa; Mollusca; Cephalopoda; Octopoda; Octopodidae.